CUCAUCCUUCCAUUACAGGGCAAGUCCCAAUGCUCCAAGGAGGGAGGUGUAUUAGACUGCCUAUAAGAACACUGACAGUCAUAAAGAUAAAAUAAGAGUGCUCUACGCACAUCCAGAGAAUGAAGUGCCUUUUCCAAUGGUGUUUCGGGCUCCUGAAAAAAGGUCAGGCAUUUCCUUGGCUCCAGAUGAGACUUCUUUCAGUUGAUGUUGAUGCCCAAAUCCUGCAGAAGCUGCACCAUCAAGUG
This is a long non-coding RNA of Hemicordylus capensis (graceful crag lizard), 245 nucleotides long. RefSeq lists it as uncharacterized. The transcript is spliced from 3 exons. The record is from RefSeq and is a predicted model, not a curated record. Lineage: Eukaryota; Metazoa; Chordata; Lepidosauria; Squamata; Cordylidae.